AGCGACCGGCCGGACACCUAUGUGACCGGCCCACAAGUGGAGGCUCCGAUCUCCCACCCGGCCGACCUCAGGUUGGCGGGUCAAUGGUCCGGCUGCGCCCCGCGGAGACUUCGCGGCGGUGCUCCUGGUUCAGUUCCGGAGCCCCGCCUGUGUCCCGUCCGGGGCGUUUUGC
RNAcentral lists this non-coding RNA (172 nucleotides) under Streptomyces gilvosporeus. RNAcentral describes it as "Streptomyces RNA 1601". It matches the Rfam family "Streptomyces RNA 1601". Rfam says of the family: Identified by deep sequencing of transcriptome at the end of exponential growth phase. Appears longer on northern blot than sequencing transcript. Streptomyces specific. The record is from Rfam by way of RNAcentral. Lineage: Bacteria; Bacillati; Actinomycetota; Actinomycetes; Kitasatosporales; Streptomycetaceae.